UACGGGGGGGGCAAGCGUUGUUCGGAAUUACUGGGCGUAAAGGGCGCGUAGGCGGCCUGCUAAGUCGGAUGUGAAAUCCCUCGGCUCAACCGAGGAACUGCAUCCGAUACUGGCGGGCUUGAAUCCGGGAGAGGGAUGUGGAAUUCCAGGUGUAGCGGUGAAAUGCGUAGAUAUCUGGAGGAACACCGGUGGCGAAGGCGGCAUCCUGGACCGGUAUUGACGCUGAGGCGCGAAAAGCUAGGGGGAGCAAACGGGAUUAAGAUAC
RNAcentral lists this ribosomal RNA (265 nucleotides) under uncultured bacterium. RNAcentral describes it as "partial 16S ribosomal RNA". It matches the Rfam family "Bacterial small subunit ribosomal RNA", at positions 524 to 785 of the family's 1533-position model. The record is from RNAcentral.